RNAcentral lists this transfer RNA (398 nucleotides) under Physantholejeunea portoricensis. RNAcentral's name for it is "partial tRNA-Leu". The stretch from base 8 to 318 matches the Rfam family "Group I catalytic intron". From Rfam's summary of the family: Group I catalytic introns are large self-splicing ribozymes. They catalyse their own excision from mRNA, tRNA and rRNA precursors in a wide range of organisms. The record is from RNAcentral. Lineage: Eukaryota; Viridiplantae; Streptophyta; Jungermanniopsida; Porellales; Lejeuneaceae.
GUAGACGCUACGGACUUAAUUUUUGAGCCUUGGUAGAGAAAUCUACUAAGUGACUGUUUUCACAUUCAGGGAAACCUAAGGUUUAAGAUAUGAGGUAAUCCUGAGCCAAAUUUUAGUUAUGAAAUAGGUGCAGAGACUCGAAGGAAACUAUCCUAACGAAACAUUUUCUCUAUUUUUUAUUAUGAGUAUUAGUUAAAUAUAAAAUACAAAAUAUGUUCGAAAUAAUAAAAACAUUUGAAUACUAAAUAUGAAUGUUAGUUUUUAAACAACUUCUAAUAGACGAGGAUAAAGAUAGAGUCCUUUUUUACAAUCUAUAUAAUUUUUACUUAAUAAAUAAUUGUAAAAAGAAAAUCCGUUGGCUUUAAUAGACCUUGAGGGUUCAAGUCCCUCUACCCCCA